CCCAGACUCCUACGGGAGGCAGCAGUGGGGAAUAUUGCACAAUGGGGGAAACCCUGAUGCAGCGACGCCGCGUGAGUGAAGAAGUAAUUCGUUAUGUAAAGCUCUAUCAGCAGGGAAGAAAAUGACGGUACCUGAGUAAGAAGCCCCGGCUAACUACGUGCCAGCAGCCGCGGUAAUACGUAGGGGGCAAGCGUUAUCCGGAUUUACUGGGUGUAAAGGGAGCGUAGACGGCAGUGCAAGUCUGGAGUGAAAGGCAGGGGCUCAACCCCCGGACUGCUCUGGAAACUGUACGGCUGGAGUGCAGGAGAGGUAAGUGGAAUUCCUAGUGUAGCGGUGAAAUGCGUAGAUAUUAGGAGGAACACCAGUGGCGAAGGCGGCUUUCUGGACUGAAACUGACGCUGAGGCACGAAAGCGUGGGGAGCGAACAGGAUUAGAUACCCCGGUA
RNAcentral lists this ribosomal RNA (445 nucleotides) under uncultured bacterium. Its description in RNAcentral is "bacterial SSU rRNA". It matches the Rfam family "Bacterial small subunit ribosomal RNA", at positions 330 to 792 of the family's 1533-position model. The record is from RNAcentral.